RNAcentral lists this long non-coding RNA (1044 nucleotides) under Canis lupus dingo (dingo). RNAcentral describes it as "lncRNA (ENSCAFG00020013640.1)". The record is from RNAcentral. Lineage: Eukaryota; Metazoa; Chordata; Mammalia; Carnivora; Canidae.
GUCAGCAGGGGCGCCUGCGCUCGGAGGCCUGGAGCCCGGCGGCCUUGCCACGCGCUCGUACGUCGCGCGCGGUCCCGCGGGCGCCGCGCAGUCGGGGGUGUCGUCGCCGGGAGGCUUCCCACGGCUGAAGGGAAAGGCCAGGGCCGGAGAGGGCCAGGGCCGGAGAGGGGGCAGGGAGGUGGGGGGGCGGCCCGGCCCGACGCUGCGGGAGCCCUUCGCGCAGCUUGUAGACAUUUGCGACUCCAGGAAGUUCCUUUCUCUCCCGAUUACCUCGUGAGCUGCGGGAGCCGGGCGCCAGGGGAGAGCAGAGACCCUCGUUCCCAACAACACUGUCUCCCCUUCCUCCGUGUAUCACCUCCUCUUCGCGUGGACACUCCUGUUUCUCUGAUCAGAGACCUAUUGGAGUUCAACAAAUAAAACCUCCAGCAGUUGUUUUUACGCUAUUAACAGGGCUGAUAACCAUCACUUUCUGAGUGUGUUUUAAGAGUGAAGUUGAAAUCCUUGUUCAAGUCUGUUAACUUUUCAUGUUUGAAUUUAAAAACACCCCUGCUCACUACCUUAACCAGUCUAUUGAACUUAAUUGCAUUAAUAGAGGACCAGUCUAACAUACACAGCAUCAGCUAGAAGAUAUUCUUGCCAAAAAUGUCUAAUUCAAAGCUAGUCAAGCCUUUAAACCAAACUUUGCAUUUGAAGGAAAGAUAAUGGGAUAAUAGACACCAUAAUGAAAUCAUCAAAAUAACCAGAAUGUGGGACACUUAAUUUAGUUGUCAAAAAAAAGUCAUUAAAAAAAGGGGGGGGGGGGACAGGGAGACUGUUUGGGAUUUAAAGAGACUAAAAAAGGGAUCCCUGCGUGGCUCAGGGGUUUAGCACCUGCCUUCAGCCCAGGGCGUGAUACUGGAGUCCCAGGAUCCAGUCCCACGUCAGGCUCCCAGCAUGGAGCCUGUUUCUCCCUCUGCCUCUCUCUCUCUCUCUCUCUCUCUCUCUCUCUCUCUCUGUGUGUGUCUCAUGAAUAAAUAAAAUCUUUAAAAAAAUUAAAGAGCCUGA